RNAcentral lists this ribosomal RNA (483 nucleotides) under uncultured bacterium. RNAcentral's name for it is "bacterial SSU rRNA". It matches the Rfam family "Bacterial small subunit ribosomal RNA", at positions 44 to 518 of the family's 1533-position model. The record is from RNAcentral.
AGGCUUAACACAUGCAAGUCGGAGGGCAGCAUGUAAGUUGCUGACAACUUGAGUGGCGACCGGCGCGACGGGUGAGUAACGCGUACUCCAACCUUCCUAUAGUAGAGGAUAGCCGGCGAAAGUCGGAUUAAUACUCUAUGUUUUCCAAUGCAGACAUCUAAAAUGGAACAAAGGUUUACCGCUAUAGGAUGGGGAUGCGUCUGAUUAGGUAGUCGGCGGGGUAACGGCCCACCGAGCCAUCGAUCAGUAGGGUUCUGAGAGGAAGGUCCCCCACAUUGGAACUGAGACACGGUCCAAACUCCUACGGGAGGCAGCAGUGAGGAAUAUUGGUCAAUGGGCGCGAGCCUGAACCAGCCAAGUAGCGUGCAGGAUGACGGCCCUAUGGGUUGUAAACUGCUUUUAUACAGGGAUAAAGUGGGGAACGUGUUCCCUUUUGUAGGUACUGUAUGAAUAAGGACCGGCUAAUUCCGUGCCAGCAGCUGC